AGAGUUUGAUCCUGGCUCAGGAUGAACGCUAGCGAUAGGCCUAACACAUGCAAGUCGAGGGGCAGCAUAGAGUAGCAAUACUUUGAUGGCGACCGGCGCACGGGUGAGUAACACGUAUGCAACCUACCUACAUCAGGGGAAUAACCCGGAGAAAUUCGGACUAAUACCGCAUAAUACAGGGAUGCCGCAUGGCAAUAUUUGUUAAAGAUUUAUCGGAUGUGGAUGGGCAUGCGUUCCAUUAGCUAGUUGGUAAGGUAACGGCUUACCAAGGCAACGAUGGAUAGGGGAACUGAGAGGUUUGUCCCCCACACUGGAACUGAGACACGGACCAGACUCCUACGGGAGGCAGCAGUGAGGAAUAUUGGUCAAUGGACGAGAGUCUGAACCAGCCAAAUCGCGUGAAGGAAGACUGCCCUACGGGUUGUAAACUUCUUUUGUACAGGAAUAAAAGACAUUACGUGUAAUGUAUUGCAUGUACUGUACGAAUAAGCAUCGGCUAACUCCGUGCCAGCAGCCGCGGUAAUACGGAGGAUGCGAGCGUUAUCCGGAUUUAUUGGGUUUAAAGGGUGCGCAGGCGGGAUUUUAAGUCAGCGGUGAAAUUUUCAGGCUCAACCUGAACACUGCCGUUGAAACUGGGAUUCUUGAGUAUGGAUGAAGUAGGCGGAAUUCGUUGUGUAGCGGUGACAUGCUUAGAUAUAACGAGGAACUCCGAUUGCGUAGGCAGCUUACUAAGCCAUAACUGACGCUCAAGCACGAAAGCGUGGGGAUCAAACAGGAUUAGAUACCCUGGUAGUCG
RNAcentral lists this ribosomal RNA (796 nucleotides) under uncultured bacterium. RNAcentral describes it as "bacterial SSU rRNA". It matches the Rfam family "Bacterial small subunit ribosomal RNA", at positions 8 to 796 of the family's 1533-position model. The record is from RNAcentral.